AGAUGAGAUCCAAAGGAGUUGAUCUUGGCCGUCCAAAUUAGUAUAAAAGAAGCCCAAAAACUCUCUUCUUUCUCUGCAAGUUACUUCUCCUUCUCCUUUGAUUUUCCUCUCGGUCCAGUGGCUAAGAUAGCAAGAAGAGAGCUAUUAAACUCUCUCUUCUAGGAAAACAGAAAAAAAAAAAAUCCAGCCCUCUUUCAUCUUUGUUUCGGUUCAGCAAGGAAAGAAAGAAAGCAGAAUCUCUUCUCAAAGCUUUCUUCUCUCCCUCUGUUACGAGUAGACAGCAACUAAAAGGAAAGGAAACCAAGAAAUUUCCAGAUUUUUGGGUGUUAUGACACUGUAGACCGGAGUAUUUUCUUUAUGGAUGGCAUAGACCACACCCUAAGAGCAAUAGAUCAAUAAAGACCGGUCUAACUUUUGUAUUGUACAUAUUUAUUUUGAAUUCCUAAAAAAAUGAUGUAAUAAUUAAAAAACUACUAUGUAUAUAUUCUUAUAAUGAAAUAUAGCCAUGUGCUAUUCCUGGGAAAA
This is a long non-coding RNA of Alnus glutinosa, 525 nucleotides long. RefSeq lists it as uncharacterized. The record is from RefSeq and is a predicted model, not a curated record. NCBI's taxonomy places the organism in Eukaryota, Viridiplantae, Streptophyta, Magnoliopsida, Fagales, Betulaceae. The transcript has 2 exons.